RNAcentral lists this ribosomal RNA (97 nucleotides) under Triportheus nematurus. Lineage: Eukaryota; Metazoa; Chordata; Actinopteri; Characiformes; Triportheidae. The record is from RNAcentral.
UACGCCCGAUCUCGUCCGAUCUCGGAAGCUAAGCAGGGUUGGGCCUGGUUAGUACUUGGAUGGGAGACCGCCUGGGAAUACCAGGUGCUGUAAGCUU